AUUGAACGCUGGCGGCAGGCCUAACACAUGCAAGUCGAGCGGAUGAAGGGAGCUUGCUCCUGGAUUCAGCGGCGGAGGGGUGAGUAAUGCCUAGGAAUCUGCCUGGUAGUGGGGGAUAACGUCCGGAAACGGGCGCUAAUACCGCAUACGCCCUGAGGGAGAAAGCGGGGGAUCUUCGGACCUCACGCUAUCAGAUGAGCCUAGGUCGGAUUAGCUAGUUGGUGGGGUAAAGGCCUACCAAGGCGACGAUCCGUAACUGGUCUGAGAGGAUGAUCAGUCACACUGGAACUGAGACACGGUCCAGACUCCUACGGGAGGCAGCAGUGGGGAAUAUUGGACAAUGGGCGAAAGCCUGAUCCAGCCAUGCCGCGUGUGUGAGGAAGGUCUUCGGAUUGUAAAGCACUUUAGGUUGGGAGGAAGGGCAGUAAGUUAAUACCUUGCUGUUUUGACGUUACCAACAGAAUAAGCACCGGCUAACUUCGUG
Molecule: ribosomal RNA, 484 nt
Filed under: uncultured bacterium
Lineage: Bacteria
Description: partial 16S ribosomal RNA
Rfam family: Bacterial small subunit ribosomal RNA
Source: RNAcentral